Molecule: ribosomal RNA, 424 nt
Filed under: uncultured bacterium
Lineage: Bacteria
Description: bacterial SSU rRNA
Rfam family: Bacterial small subunit ribosomal RNA
Source: RNAcentral
UGAGGAAUAUUGGUCAAUGGACGCAAGUCUGAACCAGCCACGUCGCGUGAAGGAAGACGGCCCUACGGGUUGUAAACUUCUUUUGUAAGGGAAUAAAGUGAGUCACGCGUGACUUUUUGCAUGUACCUUACGAAUAAGGAUCGGCUAACUCCGUGCCAGCAGCCGCGGUAAUACGGAGGAUCCGAGCGUUAUCCGGAUUUAUUGGGUUUAAAGGGUGCGCAGGCGGGAGAUUAAGUCGGCGGUGAAAUUUUGCAGCUCAACUGUAAAAGUGCCUUCGAAACUGGUUUUCUUGAGUAUGGAUGAAGUAGGCGGAAUUUGUGGUGUAGCGGUGAAAUGCAUAGAUAUCACGAGGAACUCCGAUUGCGCAGGCAGCUUACUAAGCCAUAACUGACGCUCAUGCACGAAGGCGUGGGGAUCAAACAGG